GAUGAACGCUAGCGGCAGGCCUAACACAUGCAAGUCGAGGGGUAGCAGGAUUAAGCUUGCUUAAUUGCUGACGACCGGCGCACGGGUGCGUAACGCGUAUGCAACCUACCUUAUACUGGGGUAUAGCCCGGAGAAAUUCGGAUUAAUCCCCCAUAGUACUAAUGAAUCGCAUGGUUUAUUAGUUAAAGCAUUGCGGUAUAAGAUGGGCAUGCGUCCUAUUAGCUAGAUGGUGAGGUAACGGCUCACCAUGGCUACGAUAGGUAGGGGGCCUGAGAGUGUGGGCCCCCACACGGGUACUGAAGCACGGACCAGACUCCUACGGGAGGCAGCAGUGAGGAAUAUUGGUCAAUGGGCGCAAGCCUGAACCAGCCAUGCCGCGUGCAGGAAGAAUGCCCUAUGGGUUGUAAACUGCUUUUAUUUGGGAAUAAACCUCUUUACGUGUAGAGAGCUGAAGGUACCAAAUGAAUAAGCACCGGCUAACUCCGUGCCAGCAGCCGCCGUAA
RNAcentral lists this ribosomal RNA (503 nucleotides) under uncultured bacterium. RNAcentral's name for it is "partial 16S ribosomal RNA". It matches the Rfam family "Bacterial small subunit ribosomal RNA", at positions 28 to 523 of the family's 1533-position model. The record is from RNAcentral.